Molecule: long non-coding RNA, 1699 nt
Organism: Macaca fascicularis (crab-eating macaque)
Lineage: Eukaryota; Metazoa; Chordata; Mammalia; Primates; Cercopithecidae
Source: Ensembl
UGCUCUUGGUUACUCAGGGGAGCUUCUUGGACUGAUAAUUGACUCAUUCCUUAAUGUGCACUAUAGGGAGAGUUAUCCCUAUGAUGGGAGUCCUCUGAUUAGGAAAGGUGAUGAAACAUUUGUCCCUAACUUUAGCUGGGUGAUCCGUUGUACCACCUUGGCCCUGGAAGGCAUUCAUGUCAGUGGCAACUCACUGGCCAGGGUGGAGGUGGUAUGGAUGACAGACUUGCCCUAGGCUUCCUCCCUGUGAACCACCAGUGGAGAUUAUGUAACAUCUAAUAUAUCCUGCUGUACCUGGAUUAAUGACUUGGGCUGAGUGGAAAGGUCAAUAUUUGAGAAAGUCACUUGGCUUACUUAGGUAGACCUUGAUGGUUUAUAGGAUUUGUUCAGCCUAUUGAGUUGAAAACCCUGGGGUCAGCUGGGCGCGGUAGCUCACGUCUGUAAUCCCAGCACUUGGGGAGGCCAAGGCGGAUGGAUCACAAGGUCAGGAGAUUGAGACCAUCCUGGCUAACACGGUGAAACCCCAUCUCUACUAAAAAUACAAAAACAAAAUUAGCCGGGCAUGGUGGCGGGCGCCUGUAGUCCCAGCUACUUGGGAGGCUGAGGCAGAAUGGCGUGAACCUGGGAGGCGGAGCUUGCAGUGAGCCGAAAUCGCACCACUGCACUCCAGCCUGGGCAACACAGAGAGACUCCGUCUCAAAAACAAACAAACAAACAAAACAAAACAAAACAAAACAAAAGAACAACAAAAAAAGAGAAAACCUUGGGGUCAGGACUGGGGUUAACAUUGCAGGUUGGACUCAUUCUGCUGUUUGAAAUGCUGUUCAUUAAAUUAAAUUCUGUAAGACACACUGAACUGAUUUGCUCUAUGCCUAUUGGCCAGAUUAAUCAGUGACUGAUAAAAUGGCAUACCCAUAAGAAAACUGUCAGAAGCCAAGACAGUAUAGAAAUGAGGGGUGAAUAUUAUUGGGAGAUAAUUCUUCACAGGUCUCUCACAUUUCUGUAUGUGUCUUGCCAGCUAAAACUAUGAAGGCCUUUGUUCUGGACUAUCUUUUCAAGGAAGCUGGUAUGGCCUUGGAAGACAGACACAGGCGCUUUGCAUCCAUAUAGCAAAGGACAGGUGUUCUUGUGACCUUGGUGGAGAUAAUGCCUCCCGUUAGUGCAAAGGGAAGGCAUACCAACCAUCCAAUAUAAAAGACACAAAUUCUGUUAGCUCUCUUCCCUCCUCCUUUCCUCAAUAAAACCCACUGCAUGUGCAGGAUUCACUUGGUCCUCUUUGUGUUGCCCUAUGGGAACUAGGCUUGGGAAAUGGCUGUAAGAAAAUGCUGGUACUCUGGCUAUUACUAUUGCUGUAAUAAACUGUCCUUUGUAUCUGACCCAAGAGUGUCUUGUCUAGUUGGGUGCAGUGACUCACGCCUGUAAUCCCAGCACUUUGGGAGGCCAAGGCAGGUGAAUCACCUGAGGACAGGAGUUUGAGACCAGCUUGGCCAACGUGGUGAAACCCCAUCUCUACUAAAAAUACACAAAUUAGCUGGGUGUGGUGGCAGGAGCCUGUAAUCUCAGCUACUCAGGAGGCUGAAGCAGGAGAAUCGUUUGAACCUGGGAGGCGGAGGUUGCAGUGAGCUGAGAUUACACCACUGCACAUCAGCCUGGGCAACAGAGCGAGGCUCCGUCUCUUUAAAAAAAAAAAAAAAAAAAA